UCCUACGGGGGGCAGCAGUGGGGAAUAUUGCACAAUGGGGGGAACCCUGAUGCAGCGACGCCGCGUGGGUGAAGAAGCGCCUCGGUGCGUAAAGCCCUGUCAGCAGGGAAGAAAAUGACGGUACCUGAAGAAGAAGCCCCGGCUAACUACGUGCCAGCAGCCGCGGUAAUACGUAGGGGGCAAGCGUUAUCCGGAUUUACUGGGUGUAAAGGGGGCGCAGACGGCGAUGCAAGCCAGGAGUGAAAGCCCGGGGCCCAACCCCGGGACUGCUCUUGGAACUGCGUGGCUGGAGUGCAGGAGGGGCA
This 305-nucleotide ribosomal RNA is filed under the name uncultured bacterium. RNAcentral's name for it is "bacterial SSU rRNA". It matches the Rfam family "Bacterial small subunit ribosomal RNA", at positions 337 to 659 of the family's 1533-position model. The record is from RNAcentral.